Molecule: ribosomal RNA, 372 nt
Filed under: Stachybotrys elegans
Lineage: Eukaryota; Fungi; Ascomycota; Sordariomycetes; Hypocreales; Stachybotryaceae
Description: SSU rRNA
Rfam family: Bacterial small subunit ribosomal RNA
Source: RNAcentral
ACGCGGGGUGAAACCGUGGUUUCCAUGGAAUUAACGAAAGCCCUGGCUUUAUUUUAAUCUAGUAGGUAUACCUUGGUAUACCGCUUAAGCAAUAACUGUUAUAUGCAGAGCUUGCUGAGUUUUUUUAUAAAGCAUUUCUUUCCGGACAUUGGAAAGAAAAAAGGGGUCAAAGACAAGUCAUCAUGGCCUUGAUGUUAUGGGCUAUAGACGUGCCACACAUGCCUAAACAAAGAGAUGCGAAAAUGUGAAUUUGAGCUAAUCUCUCAAAAUAGGAUAUAAUUAAAGGAUUGUAGUCUGAAAUUCGACUAUAUGAAUAAGUAAUUACUAGUAAUCGUGAAUCACCACGUCACGGUGAAUUUUUCUUGGAUUGGU